Molecule: ribosomal RNA, 468 nt
Filed under: uncultured bacterium
Lineage: Bacteria
Description: partial 16S ribosomal RNA
Rfam family: Bacterial small subunit ribosomal RNA
Source: RNAcentral
GACGAACGCUGGCGGCGUGCUUAACACAUGCAAGUCGAACGGAAAGGCACUGCUUUUGUGGGGUGACCGAGUGGCGAACGGGUGAGUAACACGUGAGUAACCUGCCCUUGACUUUGGGAUAACUUCAGGAAAGUGGGGCUAAUACCGGAUAGGAGCUCAUGCUGCAUGGUGGGGGUUGGAACGUUUCGGCGGUUGGGGAUGGACUAGCGGCUUAUCAGCUUGCUGGUGGGGUAGUGGCUUACCAAGGCAUUGACCGGUAGCCGGCCUGUGAGGGUGACCGGCCACAUUGGGACUGAGGUACGGCCCAGACUCCUACGGUAGGCAGCAGUGGGGAAUAUUGCACAAUGGGCGGAAGCCUGAUGCGGCAGCGCCGCGUUCGUGAUGACGGCCUUCGGGUUGUAAACCGCUUUCGCCUGUGACGAAGCGUGAGUGACGGUAAUGGGUAAAGAAGCACCGGCUAACUACGUG